AAUAUACUCCCUCCGUCCGGAAAUACUUGUCGGAGAAAUGCAUAAAAAUGAAUGUAUCUAGAACUAAAAUACAUCUAGACAAAUCACCUCCUCCGACGAGUAUUUUCGGACGGAGGGAGUAUAUA
Triticum aestivum (bread wheat) is the source of this 125-nucleotide non-coding RNA. Lineage: Eukaryota; Viridiplantae; Streptophyta; Magnoliopsida; Poales; Poaceae. The record is from Rfam.